This 1283-nucleotide long non-coding RNA is filed under the name Actinidia chinensis (golden kiwifruit). Its description in RNAcentral is "long non-coding RNA (ACHI_LNC002556)". Lineage: Eukaryota; Viridiplantae; Streptophyta; Magnoliopsida; Ericales; Actinidiaceae. The record is from RNAcentral.
AUUCUGGUUACAGGAAAUUCUGGAAGGAUAGGACAGUGAAGGGGCCUUAUUAAAGUAUAACCCUUUUCUGUAAAUCAAUGGUCAAGUCGGCUCAACAAAGCUUUCCUUUACUAGCUUGAGUGGAAAUAAUUACAGAAGAUCGGAAUGCAUUUUUUUAGGUCUUCUUUUGUGGAGGAGAUCCGACAAGUUCGGAGUCACCAAGAAAAUCGAAUGUUGAGGAAAGAGAUGGAAUAAAGAAGUUUUUGGGGCAGAGGAAGGCACAGUUUAGAUCGGAGCGGAGCUGGAACGGAUUGAACAAACUAUGCCAGAUAAUGGUGGGGCACCGGCCGCGAGAGAUAUGGAGAAAACUCUAUGAAUUUCACAAUUUAUUGGCCGAUGAGGAGACCGAUAAGUUGUAUUUGAACCGGGGAACAACAACUGAUAGCAGGAAUUAUCUAAUGCUAUGCAAAUAUGACUUCUAGUUGAUCUUGGAUGCUAGCUCACCCAUCCGCCGCUUUUUUGCAUCCCUACAAUAGUUGGGGAGUAGUGAAUGCAAAGGGUAAAGCCUAUCAACUGUUGGUGUAAUUUCUUGCUUUGACAUCUACCCUUUCUUAAAUAGAUAGAAGUCAUAACAAGGUAGCCAAUUCUUGGUUGGAUUGAAUCCUUUGCUUUUCAGGACUGUAAGUCCUCAAAAGCCUCUUUUAGCUGAGGUUGCCUGUCAUUGCGGACUUCUCAUGGCACAUGGUAUGAUUGAACCAUCAUAAAUGAAAAGAGCAUAUCACACCGGUAUAUGUAAGGUAUAUAUCACUUCAAUGUUUUCAAUAAAACCUAUUACACCAGCUUCUAGAUCGAAUAAGGAUUACUCCCGUGGCCUCUCGGUAAACGAAAGUAAGGGUUCCGUCUUGGUGAAGCGACAUUUUUCGGGAGGGGGCUUGUCGAAGGAAGAACCGGAUCUAGCUUUGGGAGAUUAGCUUCCGCUGAGUAGGAAGACUCCCAUCAGCACCAAGCAAAGAAGCCUUAUCCCACAGGGAGACUGGAAACGAUCUAAUCUCGUCAAGUGGGCUUCUUACCUCUAUUUGCUCUGGGAAAGGAGAGAAUAGUCGCCCCAGAGAAGCCAUACCCUAAGGAAGCUUCACUUUCCUAUCUCUCUCUCUGACCUACUUAGCAUAGCAUAUUUACAUGGACCGCUCCACCCCAUUGACAUCGCCUGAAGUAGCCUAUUCGCACUAGUGGAACUACCACCGGGAGCUAACUCAGUUGCCAAUAAACAAGUACUUUUUCAAUACUGUCUUGCUCCUCGCAUA